GGGGCUAUAGCUCAGCUGGGAUAGCGCUUGCAUGGCAUGCAAGAGGUCAGCGGUUCGAUCCCGCUUAGCUCCACCA
Molecule: transfer RNA, 76 nt
Filed under: Klebsiella pneumoniae
Lineage: Bacteria; Pseudomonadati; Pseudomonadota; Gammaproteobacteria; Enterobacterales; Enterobacteriaceae
Also listed under: 1 other name
Description: tRNA-Ala
Rfam family: tRNA
About the family: Transfer RNA (tRNA) molecules are approximately 80 nucleotides in length. Their secondary structure includes four short double-helical elements and three loops (D, anti-codon, and T loops).
Source: RNAcentral